UCUGGAUCCAGGAAUUCCAACACCCCUGCCAUGUGUGGUUCUCAUAUUGGCUGCAUCUCUAAUAUCUCUAAUUGUGUUGUGCCGGCCUUUUUUUUUUUUUUUAGUGUGCUUUGCAAUUUAUUUCUUGAGAGCCAGUCAGGAUGUAGUGAGUAAAGCAAGUAUUUAAACGGGCAGUUAGCACUGUGGUGGUAAGGUGUAGGGGGAAGAGAGUUGUAGUUAGAACUCAGGUGUUUUAGGUGCGGCUGUGCUACUGUGAGCAUUUACACAUGUUUCUCAGUUGUUUUCGCCGCUCAGGUGAGGCAGGUGGCCAGCUCCGGCUUGAUUUAGGUAUUUCCUCCUUCCAGGUCAAUUAGGCUCUGAUUGAAUCCCAUAGGUUAGGCUUAGGUUAAUGAGCUUCUGGUGAGCUACGCCUUCUUAAGGAGACAAACGCUGUGGUAUACGUCAAAAUGGUUCCUCUUCUCCAAAGGUGAAAACGCGGAAGGUUUGAUUAUCUUAUAUUUCAUGAUAGAACUUUUCGAGCUCUUGGAAGUAAAACUGAGAAAAGCGUUGGGGAGUCUGCUAUGACUAGCUUCCCAUGAGGAUUUUGACGGGCUGCGUGGCUCCCAUGGAGUCGCCAGUAAAUCGUCAGUUGCAGUACUGACGUUCCUGCUCCAGCACUGGUUCUGGAGGAGGUUGGAUGUUGCGAUACUCCGUAUUCGCCCAGCUUUGUGGUUUCAAGGGGUAGUUUGGUUCUCCAGGUCUAAGUGCAGUUGUUGGUUUUUCAGUGUAUUUGGCUCUUAGUUUCUAGGACGAAUGGCAAAAUCUGAGCUCAUUGUACACAGAACUGGAAAAAAUGAUACGUCGUAUUUUUCAUAUUUCUAUCUUAGAAGACAAAAUGUUCAUUUUUGAGCUGUUCAUGUAUUUGUUUUUUUCAAAACAGACCAGUGUGAAUAUCUGGGAGCAAAUCAAGAUAAAUUGCUUGUAAGAAUCCUGUGUCUCAAGGUCUACCACUGAAGAGCUCCAACUAAGAUAAAAAUUAACUGAGUACAUUAUUCCAUAUGGAAGUACUUCAAAAAGAUCAUGGAGAAAUGGAGUUAAAAGGUAAAUUUAUUUCUGGUGCAAAAUUUCUUUUUGAGAUCCAAGCAUAAGUUUUAGUAGUACAUGCUUCCAUGAACUUUUUGAAAUAUUCUCAUAUAAUGCCAACAUAUCUGACUUAAACUCUUGCAUUCCAUAGACACUAUCCC
Molecule: long non-coding RNA, 1223 nt
Filed under: Oryctolagus cuniculus (rabbit)
Lineage: Eukaryota; Metazoa; Chordata; Mammalia; Lagomorpha; Leporidae
Description: lncRNA (ENSOCUG00000035207.1)
Source: RNAcentral